UUAAGCGACUAAGCGUACACGGUGGAUGCCCUGGCAGUCAGAGGCGAUGAAGGACGUGCUAAUCUGCGAUAAGCGUCGGUAAGGUGAUAUGAACCGUUAUAACCGGCGAUUUCCGAAUGGGGAAACCCAGUGUGAUUCGUCACACUAUCAUUAACUGAAUCCAUAGGUUAAUGAGGCGAACCGGGGGAACUGAAACAUCUAAGUACCCCGAGGAAAAGAAAUCAACCGAGAUUCCCCCAGUAGCGGCGAGCGAACGGGGAGCAGCCCAGAGCCUGAAUCAGUGUGUGUGUUAGUGGAAGCGUCUGGAAAGGCGCGCGAUACAGGGUGACAGCCCCGUACACAAAAAUGCACAUAUUGUGAGCUCGAUGAGUAGGGCGGGACACGUGGUAUCCUGUCUGAAUAUGGGGGGGCCAUCCUCCAAGGCUAAAUACUCCUGGCUGACCGAUAGUGAACCAGUACCGUGAGGGAAAGGCGAAAAGAACCCCGGCGAGGGGAGUGAAAAAGAACCUGAAACCGUGUACGUACAAGCAGUGGGAGCACGCUUAGGCGUGUGACUGCGUACCUUUUGUAUAAUGGGUCAGCGACUUAUAUUCUGUAGCAAGGUUAACCGAAUAGGGGAGCCGAAGGGAAACCGAGUCUUAACUGGGCGUUAAGUUGCAGGGUAUAGACCCGAAACCCGGUGAUCUAGCCAUGGGCAGGUUGAAGGCUGGGUAACACUAACUGGAGGACCGAACCGACUAAUGUUGAAGAAUUAGCGGAUGACUUGUGGCUGGGGGUGAAAGGCCAAUCAAACCGGGAGAUAGCUGGUUCUCCCCGAAAGCUAUUUAGGUAGCGCCUCGUGAAUUCAUCGUCCGGGGGUAGAGCACUGUUUCGGCAAGGGGGUCAUCCCGACUUACCAACCCGAUGCAAACUGCGAAUACCGGAGAAUGUUAUCACGGGAGACACACGGCGGGUGCUAACGUCCGUCGUGAAGAGGGAAACAACCCAGACCGCCAGCUAAGGUCCCAAAGUCAUGGUUAAGUGGGAAACGAUGUGGGAAGGCCCAGACAGCCAGGAUGUUGGCUUAGAAGCAGCCAUCAUUUAAAGAAAGCGUAAUAGCUCACUGGUCGAGUCGGCCUGCGCGGAAGAUGUAACGGGGCUAAACCAUGCACCGAAGCUGCGGCAGCGACGCUUAUGCGUUGUUGGGUAGGGGAGCGUUCUGUAAGCCUGCGAAGGUGUGCUGUGAGGCAUGCUGGAGGUAUCAGAAGUGCGAAUGCUGACAUAAGUAACGAUAAAGCGGGUGAAAAGCCCGCUCGCCGGAAGACCAAGGGUUCCUGUCCAACGUUAAUCGGGGCAGGGUGAGUCGACCCCUAAGGCGAGGCCGAAAGGCGUAGUCGAUGGGAAACAGGUUAAUAUUCCUGUACUUGGUGUUACUGCGAAGGGGGGACGGAGAAGGCUAUGUUGGCCGGGCGACGGUUGUCCCGGUUUAAGCGUGUAGGCUGGUUUUCCAGGCAAAUCCGGAAAAUCAAGGCUGAGGCGUGAUGACGAGGCACUACGGUGCUGAAGCAACAAAUGCCCUGCUUCCAGGAAAAGCCUCUAAGCAUCAGGUAACAUCAAAUCGUACCCCAAACCGACACAGGUGGUCAGGUAGAGAAUACCAAGGCGCUUGAGAGAACUCGGGUGAAGGAACUAGGCAAAAUGGUGCCGUAACUUCGGGAGAAGGCACGCUGAUAUGUAGGUGAAGUCCCUUGCGGAUGGAGCUGAAAUCAGUCGAAGAUACCAGCUGGCUGCAACUGUUUAUUAAAAACACAGCACUGUGCAAACACGAAAGUGGACGUAUACGGUGUGACGCCUGCCCGGUGCCGGAAGGUUAAUUGAUGGGGUCAGCGCAAGCGAAGCUCUUGAUCGAAGCCCCGGUAAACGGCGGCCGUAACUAUAACGGUCCUAAGGUAGCGAAAUUCCUUGUCGGGUAAGUUCCGACCUGCACGAAUGGCGUAAUGAUGGCCAGGCUGUCUCCACCCGAGACUCAGUGAAAUUGAACUCGCUGUGAAGAUGCAGUGUACCCGCGGCAAGACGGAAAGACCCCGUGAACCUUUACUAUAGCUUGACACUGAACAUUGAGCCUUGAUGUGUAGGAUAGGUGGGAGGCUUUGAAGUGUGGACGCCAGUCUGCAUGGAGCCGGCCUUGAAAUACCACCCUUUAAUGUUUGAUGUUCUAACGUGGACCCGUGAUCCGGGUUGCGGACAGUGUCUGGUGGGUAGUUUGACUGGGGCGGUCUCCUCCUAAAGAGUAACGGAGGAGCACGAAGGUUGGCUAAUCCUGGUCGGACAUCAGGAGGUUAGUGCAAUGGCAUAAGCCAGCUUGACUGCGAGCGUGACGGCGCGAGCAGGUGCGAAAGCAGGUCAUAGUGAUCCGGUGGUUCUGAAUGGAAGGGCCAUCGCUCAACGGAUAAAAGGUACUCCGGGGAUAACAGGCUGAUACCGCCCAAGAGUUCAUAUCGACGGCGGUGUUUGGCACCUCGAUGUCGGCUCAUCACAUCCUGGGGCUGAAGUAGGUCCCAAGGGUAUGGCUGUUCGCCAUUUAAAGUGGUACGCGAGCUGGGUUUAGAACGUCGUGAGACAGUUCGGUCCCUAUCUGCCGUGGGCGCUGGAGAACUGAGGGGGGCUGCUCCUAGUACGAGAGGACCGGAGUGGACGCAUCACUGGUGUUCGGGUUGUCAUGCCAAUGGCACUGCCCGGUAGCUAAAUGCGGAAGAGAUAAGUGCUGAAAGCAUCUAAGCACGAAACUUGCCCCGAGAUGAGUUCUCCCUGACCCUUUAAGGGUCCUGAAGGAACGUUGAAGACGACGACGUUGAUAGGCCGGGUGUGUAAGCGCAGCGAUGCGUUGAGCUAACCGGUACUAAUGAACCGUGAGGCUUAACCUU
This 2903-nucleotide ribosomal RNA is filed under the name Shigella sonnei 4822-66. RNAcentral describes it as "bacterial LSU rRNA". It matches the Rfam family "Bacterial large subunit ribosomal RNA". The record is from RNAcentral. Lineage: Bacteria; Pseudomonadati; Pseudomonadota; Gammaproteobacteria; Enterobacterales; Enterobacteriaceae.